Molecule: ribosomal RNA, 452 nt
Filed under: uncultured bacterium
Lineage: Bacteria
Description: bacterial SSU rRNA
Rfam family: Bacterial small subunit ribosomal RNA
Source: RNAcentral
GAUGAACGCUGGCGGCGUGCUUAACACAUGCAAGUCGAACGAAGCACUUUAUUUGAUUUCCUUCGGGACUGAUUAUUUUGCGACUGAGUGGCGGACGGGUGAGUAACGCGUGGGUAACCUGCCUUGUACAGGGGGAUAACAGUUGGAAACGGCUGCUAAUACCGCAUAAGCGCACAGCAUCGCAUGAUGCAGUGUGAAAAACUCCGGUGGUAUAAGAUGGACCCGCGUUGGAUUAGCUAGUUGGUGAGGUAACGGCCCACCAAGGCGACGAUCCAUAGCCGACCUGAGAGGGUGACCGGCCACAUUGGGACUGAGACACGGCCCAAACUCCUACGGGAGGCAGCAGUGGGGAAUAUUGCACAAUGGGCGAAAGCCUGAUGCAGCGACGCCGCGUGAGCGAAGAAGUAUUUCGGUAUGUAAAGCUCUAUCAGCAGGGAAGAUAAUGACGGUAC